Molecule: ribosomal RNA, 434 nt
Filed under: uncultured bacterium
Lineage: Bacteria
Description: partial 16S ribosomal RNA
Rfam family: Bacterial small subunit ribosomal RNA
Source: RNAcentral
AGCGAACGCUGGCGGCAGGCCUAACACAUGCAAGUCGAACGAACCUUUCGGGGUUAGUGGCGGACGGGUGAGUAACACGUGGGAACGUGCCUUUAGGUUCGGAAUAACUCAGGGAAACUUGUGCUAAUACCGAAUGUGCCCUUCGGGGGAAAGAUUAAUCGCCUUUAGAGCGGCCCGCGUCUGAUUAGCUAGUUGGUUGAGGUAAUGGCUCACCAAGGCGACGAUCAGUAGCUGGUCUGAGAGGAUGAUCAGCCACAUUGGGACUGAGACACGGCCCAAACUCCUACGGGAGGCAGCAGUGGGGAAUCUUGCGCAAUGGGCGAAAGCCUGACGCAGCCAUGCCGCGUGAAUGAUGAAGGUCUUAGGAUUGUAAAAUUCUUUCACCGGGGACGAUAAUGACAGUACCCGGAGAAGAAGCCCCGGCUAACUUCGUG